Molecule: long non-coding RNA, 301 nt
Organism: Branchiostoma belcheri (Belcher's lancelet)
Lineage: Eukaryota; Metazoa; Chordata; Leptocardii; Amphioxiformes; Branchiostomatidae
Exons: 3
Source: RefSeq, a predicted model, not a curated record
UUAAAGAGCCAACACUAGUUAAAGGGAACCCUGUACUGCUGUUGCCAAUAUUAACGAGGGAGACUUCAGUUUGCAAAACGCACACCAUCCUGUCUCCCUGGAUGCACCUGUAGCAGAUGGGUUUCCAGUGUGGACUUGAGCCGUCUCACCGCAUCCGGGAUGGAGCUGGUUGAUCGGUUGAUCCGAUUGAAAACGGCAUGGACCUGUUCCACCCCUUGCUCCCCAUGAAAACCCAACCCAACCCCCCAACACCUUAUCCAGGGUAUGACAUGUUCUUCCAAGAGGUGCAUCUUGACAGAUA